Molecule: ribosomal RNA, 429 nt
Filed under: Bacteroidota bacterium
Lineage: Bacteria; Pseudomonadati; Bacteroidota
Description: Bacteroidetes bacterium partial 16S ribosomal RNA
Rfam family: Bacterial small subunit ribosomal RNA
Source: RNAcentral
UAGGGAAUCUUCCGCAAUGGACGCAAGUCUGACGGAGCAACGCCGCGUGAGUGAAGAAGGAUUUCGGUUCGUAAAACUCUGUUGUUAGAGAAGAACAGCGCAUAGAGUAACUGUUAUGCGUGUGACGGUAUCUAACCAGAAAGCCACGGCUAACUACGUGCCAGCAGCCGCGGUAAUACGUAGGUGGCAAGCGUUGUCCGGAUUUAUUGGGCGUAAAGCGAGCGCAGGCGGUCAAUUAAGUCUGAUGUGAAAGCCCCCGGCUCAACCGGGGAGGGUCAUUGGAAACUGGUUGACUUGAGUGCAGAAGAGGAGAGGGGAAUUCCAUGUGUAGCGGUGAAAUGCGUAGAUAUAUGGAGGAACACCAGUGGCGAAAGCGACUCUCGGGUCUGUAACUGACGCUGAGGCUCGAAAGCGUGGGUAGCAAACAGG